GUAGCCUCUCUCCCUCUGUCUCACUCCGUCAAGCAAGUUCUGACGCCAGUCGACUACUUUUCUGGUCUCACCCGCCGCCGCUGUUGGGCAACACCGCACUGCAGGUAAGUUCUUCUUUUUUUAUUUUUUUUAUUUUUGUUAAUAUUUUUUUGUAUUUACAGCUAUAACAUGAUUUUUAUUAUUUUUUUAAUUUUUUUGCAUUUAUAUUUUAUGUCGAUUAUGAUUGUUAAAUGUUUUUUUUUUAUUGAAGAUGGAUUUUUUUGGUUAUUUUUCUAUUUUGUUGAUUGUUGACAGUUAGUAUUGGUUUGUAGUUUGAUAUAUGUUAUUUUUGUUGAUUCUAGCUAGUUUCUAAUUAAUCUCAGUUUGAUAGUUUUUAGUUUUUUGAUUAGUUUAUUAUUUUUUAGUUAAUUUCUUUGAAUGUUAAGUAGUUUGUCAUUUGUCAGUUAAUUAUUUUGUCAUUUUUUUUUUUUUUAUUUGUCAUUUGUUUGACUGUUUUAGAUUAAAGCACUUAAUGGUUAUUAUGAACAAAUUUAUUUAAUUAGGUUAGUUUAUUAAUUAGGUUAGCUUAAUUAGUUUGUUAAUUAGGUUAGUUUUUUUAAUUAAUUGAUUUGUCAAUUUUGUUAAUUAUAUAAUUGGUGUAUGAAUCUAUGCAUAUGUUACUUUUUCGCAUUAUCUUAGUUUGUUAAUUACGUUAAUUAGUUUGUUAAGUAGGUUAUUUGUUAAUUAGGUUAGUUUGUUAAUUAUAUCCGUUUGUUAAUUAGGUUAGUUUUUUAAUGAAUUAGUUUAUCAAUUUUGUUAAUUAGUUUUUGAAUUACCGAUACAAAGAGUUGAAGAUUUAACGGAACGAUUGGCUGAUGAAUAUGAGACAUAUGUUGAGAUUGGUAUGUCAAAUAAAGAUGAUGAAGCGAAGCCCCAUGUCUUAGGUACUUCAAAACAAGGAGGAGGAGGAAAAGAUGAAUAAGACGAAGAAGAAUGAGACAAAGAAUAUUAAAAUAGUUAGUAUUAUCUUAAUUCUUAAAAUUCAAAACCUUAAGCAUAGUUACUAUAUUGUAUAAACUCAAAACUUAAACAUUUAUGUUUAGUCUUGAAACUUUUGUAAUAUUUGUGUCAAUUAUUAUGUUGUAUUGUAGAUCACCUUGUUCGGGUUCAAAUGGAUACAGGCAUGGGGUCGAGGACUCUGCAUGAAGGGGAUGAGCUCGAGGUAUUCGAGGGCGAGGUGGUUGUGCCAAAACACGUGACGCUCAUAAAGUCACACAACCUCCCUUGCCUCCACUACCUUCUAUCCCUUCUUUAAUUAAUUAAAUAAUUGAUGCAAUAACUAUUAAAGAAAAAUAGAUUAAUAAUACCAACAAGGUGUUAGUUGAGGUGGUUAGCGCCUUUAAUUCCCAUAAGGUUUGAUCCCCGGUUACACUAAAUACAGAAAACCUUGUAUAAUAAAUUUGUCAAAAUUCCAAAAAUAUUUUUCUCCUUUAAAAAGUAUUCUUUUUCUUUUGUAAUAAUUUUUUUUUGAAAAUAAUUUAGUUUUCUCUUUAAUCAU
RNAcentral lists this long non-coding RNA (1537 nucleotides) under Jatropha curcas. RNAcentral's name for it is "long non-coding RNA (JCUR_LNC000280)". Lineage: Eukaryota; Viridiplantae; Streptophyta; Magnoliopsida; Malpighiales; Euphorbiaceae. The record is from RNAcentral.